GACGAACGCUGGCGGCGUGCUUAACACAUGCAAGUCGAACGGAAAGGCCUGCUUUCCCUUGUGGAUUGCGGGUACUCGAGUGGCGAACGGGUGAGUAACACGUGAGUGAUCUGCCCCCAACUUGGGUAUAAGCCUGGGAAACUGGGUCUAAUUCCCGAUAGGACUGCAGGGUGGUGCCUGUGGUGGAAAACGAUUUUCUAGUGGUUGGGGAUGAGCUCGCGGCCUAUCAGCUUGUUGGUGGGGUAAUGGCCUACCAAGGCGGCGACGGGUAGCCGGCCUGGGAGGGUGGACGGCCACAGUGGGACUGAGAUACGGCCCAGACUCCUACGGGAGGCAGCAGUGGGGAAUAUUGCACAAUGGGCGGAAGCCUGAUGCAGCGACGCCGCGUGGGGGAUGACGGCCUUCGGGUGGUAAACUCCUUUCGACCGCGAGGAAGCCACCUGGUUGGAAGGGUGGUGACGGUAGUGGUAGAAGAAGCACCGGCUAACUACGUG
RNAcentral lists this ribosomal RNA (494 nucleotides) under uncultured bacterium. RNAcentral describes it as "partial 16S ribosomal RNA". It matches the Rfam family "Bacterial small subunit ribosomal RNA", at positions 28 to 507 of the family's 1533-position model. The record is from RNAcentral.